RNAcentral lists this long non-coding RNA (757 nucleotides) under Rattus norvegicus (Norway rat). RNAcentral's name for it is "long non-coding RNA NONRATT012403". Lineage: Eukaryota; Metazoa; Chordata; Mammalia; Rodentia; Muridae. The record is from RNAcentral.
CGUUUGAGAAGCUAGAAUGGUGGACAGAUGCCUCUGGGUGUGCUCCGCUCGCAUCAUAAAGUUUUAGCUGAAGAUAAAGAACCCUUCAAAGGUUUUCCCACAAAAAUGCCUGCCUUGCUCAGCAGAGAGCAAUCAUGCUCUCAGAUGCAGGGGGCAGCUGGGAACACAGUGUUUCAUAGAAACCUGUUUUCCCACCCCAACGAAGAGGCACCCGCUAUCACCGGAUGGAAGGAGGAAGAUGAAGGCUGAACUGAACACAUUGCUGAUGAGGCCAGGGAUGCUGGGUACCUGGGACCAGAAACAGUGCAGCUGUCACCACCCUGGGGCCUGAAGGACUGGCAGGAUUGUCAGAGUCUGAUAAGAGAUGAGUUAUGUUAGGGUAACCUCCCAUAGGAGGGCGGCUUAUGGGAGUGGAGCACCAGCAUCUGUAGACUGGGGGAGGGUGGAAGGAGCUGGUGGAAUCAGUGACUUCUUGGCUUUCCUGCCCUUGGAUGUCCUCGUGGUACCUCUGGUUGACCAGCAUGGAUGGUCCAUUCCAGAGACGCUGGAUGGUCCAGAGAGGAGCUGAAAAUGGAUGAGGCACACACAGCAUUUCCUCAUCGGCUUCUUCACUUUCGCUGUGGGAUUUCUCAGGUGAUUCCCAUUAUCUGAGCAGUUCUCUGUUGGCUUUCUCCGGUGACUGUAUGCCAAUUCCAUUUUUAUUUUUACAUGUAUUAUUAAAUACAAUAUUAUACAUAUUAAAUAUGUAUACAUAUAU